Molecule: long non-coding RNA, 3551 nt
Organism: Ostrea edulis (European flat oyster)
Lineage: Eukaryota; Metazoa; Mollusca; Bivalvia; Ostreida; Ostreidae
Exons: 3
Source: RefSeq, a predicted model, not a curated record
CGUGAACUGUUUGGGUUUUUUUCUAAAAUUUAAUCUUUGCAGUUAAUGUACUCUGUAUACUAAAAAUUCAUAUUGAUUUUGGAUAGAAUUUCACAUUUAAAAACAAAUAGAUAUGCGCCAAGUCCUUAGGAAUCAACCCCACCCCCACCCCUCCACACGGGACUUUUUUUUGGAUGAUUGGACCGUAUCCCCCUUUUCAUCUGUCUCCCUACUUUGAAGUUUUUUUCCCAACGCCAUGACAUAAAUAGAUAAAUAAAUAAAAUGCAAAAAUAAAAACGAAAGAUAUAUAUGUAUUCGGAUUGGCAAGUUCCACUUUGUCCGGGUUGAAAUCCCCGAGGAUGCAAAUGUACAUUACGCCGCACUGUUUGCAGUACGCACAUGGUACAGGUGUACCACAUAGUGGUCUUCAACUUUUAAUCUCCAAGAAGGAAAUGUAAUUAAAAGAUGAAUAAAGUAUCCCUAAGAAUACCAGAAGAAAGGCUAUGUGUUGAGAAAAACAGCCCUUCCUCAGUACCUCAGAACUAGAUGAUAGCCCUUAAUUGUUACUUUAUGCUGAAUAUGACACAAUAUAGAAGAUCUGAUCAUGAAGAAGUAACACCAUUGAUACACUUGCCAACUGCCAAAAUUACUUUCUGAUAGUAUGACGAGAUUAGAAGAUAUCAUGGUGUAGUCAUGACACAAACUGCAAAAUCAAAGAAUUAAUUGUCUUCCCCAGAGGAUGAACAGAGCAAGAUGGCUUCACAUGGAUAACAUUUCCUUUCGAGUUUUGAAAUUAAUUUGUCAGAAUGUUAUGCAUCGUUAUCAACAGAAAAGAACUUCAUAGGUAGACCAAAGCUGACAUGGGAUGAGAUCCUAGAACAAGACCUAGAGUUUACAGGAUUGGAUAGGAUCAAUCCACUGGGUCGCCAAGUGUGGAAGUACAAACUUCAACCUCGACAGGACAGCCAGGCCUCACCCUUGCAAAAAGAUUAAUUUGGCCUGGAUAGUCAAAAUGAGUGAUGAUGAUUGAUAUCAAGGUCUGACACUGGAAGCUCAGUAAGGGUAGAUGCUGGCAAUGGAGCUGUUUAGCAAUAAAACAAACAAGUUUAACAUUAAACAUGUUUGUAUACUUUUUUGGCUCACCUGAGCCAAAGGCUCAAGUGAGCUUUUCUGAUCACCUUUGCCUGUCGUCUGUCUGUUUAUAAACUUUUCACAUUUUCAUUUUCUUCUCCAGAGUGAACCACUGGGCCAGUUUCAAUCAAACUUGGUAUGCAUCAUCAAUAGAUAAAGGGUAUUCAAGUUUGUUCAUAUAAAGGGUCAUGCACCCUUCAAAAAGGAAAUAAUCAUGGAAAUGCAAAAAUAGGGUGGAGUCAUUUAAAAAAACCUUUUCAAGAACCACUGGACCAGGAAAGUUGAAUUCACACGAAAGGUUCCUGUUUUGUGCAAAUCAUGGUCUCUGGGGGUAGGGUGGGGUCACAAUAGAGAAUCAAAGUUUUACAUUCAUAUAUAGUGCAUAUUCAAGUUUGUAAAAAGCUCACAGGGGUAGGGUGGGGGUCACAAUAGGGGAUUUAAGUUUUACAUGUGAAAUAUAUACAAGGAAAAUCUUUUAAAAUCUUCUCCUCAAAAACUAGAUGCAGAACCGUAGCUCUUUGAAAAGAGAGCUUCAGAUGAACCCCUUAUAAAAAAAACUUCAAUUUAUGGCAGAGAAAAAAAGUGCAUGUUUAAGUCCCUCUAUCACUGCAUUCCUGCAUCGCUGUCUCAUGAAUUUAAUAUUAAAUAAUUCCCAACAUAUUUUCCCACUAUACUUGUUUCCAAACAUACUUUCAAAUAUUUUCUAAACCCACAUAUAACCCCAAAACAGCUUCAAGUGAUUUCAAUUUCUUUGUUGAUGUAGCCAUGUUAAGUAGCCAGUCAAUUUGAACCCCAGUUCAUUUCCAUACUCAUACUCAUUUUGAAACAUAAUGUCUGUGUGAACUAAUAUCCUCACAAAUAUUUUUAGUGAAAUAUUUAGGAUGAAAUCAUCCCAGUUGGGUUAAAUACUUAUUAUUCAAAUACUGUAGGUUUGAAUAUUGAACUAAUCUCACAGCUUUCUUAAGUUUGGUCCCCAUCCCCACCAGUCUGUUUUUACGCUUAACUAUGGAAAUGGGGUGUAAGGGAUCAGACUAGGCUUUUAUAGCAUUAUCAAUUUUCAAAAGCUUUAGAAAAAUUAUACAAUUUUAGGUCACUUGAGUAAACUCAGAUGACAUAUUGCUAUUGAUCUGCAUCUGUUGUAGUCCGUCGACAUUAACAAUUGAACAUUUUUAACUAAAUUCUAUAACUGAAAGAUGAAGAUACCGCACAGCGAUCAAUCUACGAUUCAAAUAACGGAAUUCUUUUCAAAUUUAGUAUGAAGCACACAAAUUUACAUUAAACCUUCUUGACAUAGUGCAUAUUCAAGUUUGUUAAAAUCAUUUCCCCGGGAGUUAUGGUGUGGUAACAAUAGGGGGUCAAAGUUUUAUAUGCUAGCUGAUAUAAAGGAAAAUUCUUUAAAGAUAUCUCUUGAACUAUUUAAGCUAGGGCUUUCAUAUCUUGUAUAUACAAUUUUUAUGGCAAAACAAAUCUGACCUAUUCAGUAUGUCCUGAACUACAUUGUGUUUAAGGUAGAUCUUUCAUAUAUAUUAUAUAUUAUGAAUUUCUUAUGAUAAAACCUUUCAUCUUGUUGAGGAGCCUCUCACCUCUGGUUGGCGCGGGUUUGAAUCCUGCUCGCACCGGUAAUUGAGAAAGUUUCCCAGUUUACUCUCGGAAGGUCGGUGGUCUCUUCCCAGGUACAUUGUAUUUGGGUUCUCUCUUCCACCAAUAAAAACUGGGCACCACCAGAUAACUGAAAAAUUGUUGAGUGUGGCGGAAAACAGUUAAAACAAUCAAUCAUAUUAUGUUAUUUGACCUUGUGACCCUGAACUCUGAGUUUGACAUACUUUUAAGAAAGUAUAACGUAUUAAGUAUAUCCAGGACUAUUUUAGAUAGGGCAUUUAUGUUUUGUAUAUUGAUUACUUAUGGCAAGGUCUUUCAUAUCAUACCAAGACCUACGACUUUUUACCUUGGUCUUAUCCAGAACAGCAAUAUCAUGCUAGUCAUAUCUUUGUCUUAUAUGAUUUCAUUUUAGUAAUGUUGUGUUCUUUAGAGCUAGGUUUGGGUCACAUUAUUCAUGAGAAUAAAGAUUGAUAAAAUAGCAUUUAAAAAUCAAAACAGCAGGGCCAAGAUGACUCAGGUGAGCGAUGUGGCCCAUGGGCCUCUUGUUGAUUUUGAUAUUUCUACCUAUAUCAUUUGUAUGAGAAAUGGAACUCCUUUUUUUCUUUUACAAAUACAUGUAUUAUCAUAUGGAUCCAUCUUUGUUGAUUAUUUAAUCAAAGGACAUAUUCAAUUCAUUCAAUGUAUUAAAUGUAAAUUUAUGGAUAUGUCUGUGGUUGAAUUACUUAUGUAUGUAUGUAUACAUUUUUCUCGCACAUGCAAUUACAUAUAUGAUGUAUAUAUAUUUACUAAUUGUACAUGUAAUAUCCCCUGUUAUAUAAUAAAAUAUAUGACUGAGAAUAAAA